AAUCGCAACGAUCUCCAGUGAAACAACGCUCAAGAUGAUGAAAAUGUUCGCACUUUUGUUUGUCGCUGUUGCGAUGGUUCUGGUGGCAGAGGCCCAUCCUCAGUAUUCCUGUGGCUCGUACGGAGGCUACCGGUAUCCGUAUUAUCCUACUUAUUCAACUUAUCCGACUUAUCCGACUUAUCCAACUGUCCCAACUGUGCCAACAACCGCUCCGAUCCUGCAGGCGAUCAUCCAGGCUCUUGCUGGUUGAUCUGGUUUAAAGAAUUGUGUUGAAGCUGCACUUGUUUUGAACUUGUUAAACACUAAUAAAAAAUAAUAUUCAAAAUUUAA
Uranotaenia lowii is the source of this 330-nucleotide long non-coding RNA. RefSeq lists it as uncharacterized. The record is from RefSeq and is a predicted model, not a curated record. NCBI's taxonomy places the organism in Eukaryota, Metazoa, Arthropoda, Insecta, Diptera, Culicidae. The transcript is spliced from 2 exons.